Molecule: non-coding RNA, 82 nt
Organism: Schistosoma margrebowiei
Lineage: Eukaryota; Metazoa; Platyhelminthes; Trematoda; Strigeidida; Schistosomatidae
Source: Rfam
AGCUCUUCGAAUCCGUGCUGAGAUUUCGUCAGACACCAACCCACUAAGGCUAAUCAAACUUACACUGUAGAUUAGUAGGGCA